UACGUAGGGCGCAAGCGUUAUCCGGAAUUAUUGGGCGUAAAGAGCUCGUAGGCGGUUUGUCGCGUCUGCCGUGAAAGUCCGGGCUCAACUCCGGAUCUGCGGUGGUACGGGCAGACUAGAGUGAUGUAGGGGGAGACUGGAAUUCCUGGUGUAGCGGUGAAAUGCGCAGAUAUCAGGAGGAACACCGAUGGCGAAGGCAGGUCUCUGGGCAUUAACUGACGCUGAGGAGCGAAAGCGUGGGGAGCGAACAG
Molecule: ribosomal RNA, 251 nt
Filed under: uncultured bacterium
Lineage: Bacteria
Description: partial 16S ribosomal RNA
Rfam family: Bacterial small subunit ribosomal RNA
Source: RNAcentral